RNAcentral lists this long non-coding RNA (693 nucleotides) under Lupinus angustifolius (narrow-leaved blue lupine). RNAcentral describes it as "long non-coding RNA (LANG_LNC001515)". Lineage: Eukaryota; Viridiplantae; Streptophyta; Magnoliopsida; Fabales; Fabaceae. The record is from RNAcentral.
UGAAAUCAUUGAGAUUGUAAAUAUGAGAGAAAGCCCUCAUAAUUGAUAUUUUUCCUUCAACUUCAUUCCAUUUGGAAGUAACAAGUUUAGUUCAAAGGGUUGGACUAUUCAAUUCUUAGAAGUAAAGUAAUCUAAAAAUCAGUCAUCACAAUUGAAGAAUUUAACAAAAAAUAUCAAUUACAUAUCAUCUCAUACCAAUAUGUAAUCAAGUACAUAUGAAAUUACAUACUAUUGCUCAUUAUAAAGCUAAUCUUAUUUGGCACAAAAACAAUACAUUUUUUCAAGAAUCAAGCAUAUAUAAUAUAAAGAAACAAGAACAACCCAUUAAAUUCUUUAUAAACAUAUAUCAAUUUUAACCCAAAUAUAAAAACAUGAUGACCCCAAGCAAGUGAAAAUUUUCAACCCCAUUAAUGCAUUGCAAUUCAAUGCAACAUAAAUGCCACUAGAGAAGCUAACAAAGAAGAACACAAAGCUGCCACAGAAAUAGGCAAAGCAAACCCAGCUCCAUCUUGCAAUUGAGAUGUUGGUGCAAUCUCUGAAUCCUGUGCCAUAGUGUUGGUCAUGCAAAACAAGACCACAACCAUUAUUGCCAUAAAGAAUUUAGUUGAAUAGCCAACAAAUAAUGCCAUUACCAUAGAAUUAAUUAUUAGAUUAUUAUAAUAAAACUGACUAAAGAGUGACCCAAAAAUUUGG